GUGCUGACUUCAGCAGCACAUAUACUAAAAUUAAAAUAAUACAGAGAAAAUUAGCACAGCCCCAUGCAAGGAUGACAUACACAUCUGUGAAGCCUUCUAUAUUUUU
This is a small nuclear RNA of Rhinopithecus bieti (black snub-nosed monkey), 106 nucleotides long. Lineage: Eukaryota; Metazoa; Chordata; Mammalia; Primates; Cercopithecidae. The record is from Ensembl.